GACGAACGCUGGCGGCGUGCCUAAUACAUGCAAGUAGAACGCUGAAGGAGGAGCUUGCUCUUCUUGAUGAGUUGCGAACGGGUGAGUAACGCGUAGGUAACCUGCCUGGUAGCGGGGGAUAACUAUUGGAAACGAUAGCUAAUACCGCAUAACAGUAGAUGUUGCAUGACAUUUACUUAAAAGGUGCAAUUGCAUCACUACCAGAUGGACCUGCGUUGUAUUAGCUAGUUGGUGGGGUAACGGCUCACCAAGGCGACGAUACAUAGCCGACCUGAGAGGGUGAUCGGCCACACUGGGACUGGGACACGGCCCAGACUCCUAAGGGAGGCAGCAGUAGGGAAUCUUCGGCAAUGGACGGAAGUCUGACCGAGCAACGCCGCGUGAGUGAAGAAGGUUUUCGGAUCGUAAAGCUCUGUUGUAAGAGAAGAACGAGCGUGAGAGUGGAAAGUUCACACUGUGACGGUAUCUUACCAGAAAGGGACGGCUAACUACGUG
This 495-nucleotide ribosomal RNA is filed under the name uncultured bacterium. RNAcentral's name for it is "partial 16S ribosomal RNA". It matches the Rfam family "Bacterial small subunit ribosomal RNA", at positions 28 to 507 of the family's 1533-position model. The record is from RNAcentral.